CGCGUAGGCGGUUUGUUUCGUUAGGCGUGAAAUUCCUGGGCUCAACCUGGGGACUGCGCUUAAGACAAGCAGACUGGAGUGUGAAAGAGGGUCGUGGAAUUCCCAGUGUAGAGGUGAAAUUCGUAGAUAUUGGGAAGAACACCGGUGGCGAAGGCGGCGACCUGGUUCAUUACUGACGCUGAGGCGCGAAAGCGUGGGGAGCAAACAGGAUUAGAUACCCUGGUAGUCCACGCCGUAAACGAUGUGUGCUGGAUGUUGGGUGACCUAGUCACUCAGUGUCGUAGCUAACGCGGUAAGCACACCGCCUGGGGAGUACGGCCGCAAGGUUGAA
Molecule: ribosomal RNA, 331 nt
Filed under: uncultured Pseudomonadota bacterium
Lineage: Bacteria; Pseudomonadati; Pseudomonadota
Description: bacterial SSU rRNA
Rfam family: Bacterial small subunit ribosomal RNA
Source: RNAcentral